Molecule: long non-coding RNA, 2054 nt
Organism: Astatotilapia calliptera (eastern happy)
Lineage: Eukaryota; Metazoa; Chordata; Actinopteri; Cichliformes; Cichlidae
Source: Ensembl
UGGUGCUCAAUAUACAGCACAGAAUACUAUUCAGCACAUUGCUCCAACUCAUGAUUGUAUGCAUGCUGGAAAUGGAGUCUUUUGGCAUUUCCCACAUGGUCACACGGAGCAGCUUGGAUCUUUUCUUGCAUGUCGACAGUGAGGUGCAAACGUACACUCUUUGAGCGAGACGACGCUGGGACCUAUGAUCUAAGAAAAUGACAGCACAGAGAGCUGCUCCAGUGUCAGCUAAGUAAAUGUUGGACUUUGAUCACAAAAUUGAGGACUUCACUCCUUGUGUCAAGUCAAGAAUUCACAAUUGCCCUAAGAGAACUUCUCCAGGGUCGCGUCCCGUCGGCAUGAGGUAUUUGCAGUGGGAAAGCAACUCUAACUUUUCAGAGAAUGAAGCUGACUGAAUUUCACCCCUGAACACUUUUAUCUGUCGUAUUACUCUACGACCUCUGUGUUGUAAUACACAGUGAGCCUUAGGGGGCAUUUCUUUUAACACACACACACACACCGUCUCCAGACAUGCAGAUGUAGCUCCUCUGGGAAAUGCAGCAGGACUCAGGCCCUGACAGGCCAGUGGAAGACUGAGUUAGCUGCUCCACACAGCUACACAGAUUUAACACUUCCACUCCCAUCUGUAGGUGCCUAUAACGUGCCUCCCUGCAUCUUUGUUUCUUUUCUUCUUUUAAUUUUUAAUUUUUUACUUUUGGCUUGUCUGCAAACAAAGCAAAAGAGAUAAAGACAUAUUCGCCUCUAAUUCCUCAACCCUCAGAUCUUACCGGACUGUCAGACAUGCUGAAAACUGAAUGUUUUUUUUUGCUUUCAAACUGAUUGAAAAUCAAGCAUCUGUGAGGUGUUCUCAGAAGCUAGCUGUGCAAGCAAACAGUAAACACAGCUUUGAUGCAGAGUAUGUUAACCUCAGUCUGUAACUUAAUAUCGCUGUUAAUGUCUCAGCAAACAGUCUACUAUUUACACCAGUAAUAUUAGCAACAGUAGCAUUCACAGAGCUAAUGUAGAAAAAAGGUAAUACUCAGUACUUACUCUUUUUGUUUCCCCUCAGGUUUUAGUACCUGCCAGCCUUUAGCCCUUCUGUUACAUUAGCUUGUUUGUCAUUCAGGGUAGGUAGUGUACAAUGUUUUAGCGAAGUUUUAUUUUGUAGCUUCACCAGCUCUAAGAGGAACUUUGAGUGGUGAAAUUGGAAAGAAAACAACAACACUGCGUUAACUAAUGCUCAACAUAUGAAAAUAUAUAAAAACUGUUCUGUAUUUAGCAGUGAGGAACUGCAUGGUUAGGUGGCAGUUCACUUUUUUAAUAGUACAGUGGAAACAAAUGCAUGCAGCACUAUUAUCAGUCUAUAACCACACUAGUGUCACUGAGAGGUUAUGCUAAUGCACAAUGCUGCUUUAAACUAAAUGUUAAUACUGGCAAACAAAACUCCUGUUAAUGUUAUGGAGUCAUGUUUGCCAUCUUGUGUGUUAGUAUGCUAAUAUGUGCUAAUUAGCAAAAACCCCAAAGCAUACAUAUUACAUAUAUAUGGUCAUAAACUAAAGUGGAAAUGGAAAGCUUAACCUGAUGGUGGCACUAUGGAUUUAAAGAACCAUAAAAGUUUGUAAUAUUUCUCUUCAGUGAGAUUUAUGACAUUUUGGUAAAAAAAAAAAAAAUCGGUUUGGGUCAAAAAAGCUAAAGCAAAAAAGCUUAACUGCUGCAUAUUAAUGUAAUGCUCUAUAACGCUUUUGAGCAUUCACAUGUCUCAUUAACUCACAGAAGCGCUUUCUGUCUGACAUUCACAACUUGAAGUUCAGUAUCGAUAUGCAUAUCCAAACACAUGCAUCUGUAUCCGUGUGUAAACAGAUGUGUAUAUAAGCCGGCACAUAUGUAUGUAUGUAAAUCUAUUAUAUAUAUCGGUAUGUUUGCAGCUUUGCAUUUUUAUAUUUGUGGGUAUAUAUGUGUAGAUAAACAUAUAUAUCAGGAUAAUGAUUAUUGUUGUUCUUGAUACUGCAUUCUUAUGUCAUUUGAUUUCACUUAAAUCUUACUACCCCCCACCACCACCACCAUUUAUCCCCCUU